Acanthosepion pharaonis is the source of this 102-nucleotide non-coding RNA. NCBI's taxonomy places the organism in Eukaryota, Metazoa, Mollusca, Cephalopoda, Sepiida, Sepiidae. The record is from the annotation of a GenBank genome assembly.
GACAUAUCACAUUGAAACACUGGUUCUCAUAUGAUCACCAGAGUUAAGCAAUGUCAAGCCUGGUCAGUACCUAGAUGAGUGACUGCUUGGGAAUAUCAGAUA